AACUUUCAACAACGGAUCUCUUGGCUCUCGCAUCGAUGAAGAACGCAGCGAAAUGCGAUAAGUAAUGUGAAUUGCAGAUUUUCAGUGAAUCAUCGAAUCUUUGAACGCACCUUGCGCUCCUUGGCAUUCCGAGGAGCAUGCCUGUUUGAGUGUCAUUAUAACCUCAA
Molecule: ribosomal RNA, 167 nt
Filed under: Sulzbacheromyces caatingae
Lineage: Eukaryota; Fungi; Basidiomycota; Agaricomycetes; Lepidostromatales; Lepidostromataceae
Description: 5.8S ribosomal RNA
Rfam family: 5.8S ribosomal RNA
About the family: 5.8S ribosomal RNA (5.8S rRNA) is a component of the large subunit of the eukaryotic ribosome. It is transcribed by RNA polymerase I as part of the 45S precursor that also contains 18S and 28S rRNA.
Source: RNAcentral